UUACUAGUAUUAUAAACUAAUCUAUUAUUAACUCUUAUUUUGUUGUUUUCUUCAUCAAUAAAUAUCAACGCCAAUACUACUUUCAAAUUUGCGCAUAGUAAAAUAUCACGUGAUAAUAAUAAUGCUUGUACACGAUUGAUGGUUAUAAAGUGUUUAAACAAAUACGCUAUUAUUUAAAUAUUUAUAACAAAUGAUGUGGUCCCUAAUAACAAGAAUUGUGCAUAGAAAUAUACCAUACAUAGCACUUCCAUUUGGUUGUGUUAUCGGUUUUAUUGGAUACCAUAUAGAAGGAUUGAUAUCCAAUAAAUAUACACCUGCAACUGCUCCUGUUAAUCAACAACGUCAAGAGAGAUUAUUAGAAAAUAUAGAUUCUAUGUCUACUAAAAAACAUAAUCCUUUAGAUGUUAAUCUUUCACCUUCGCUUUCUAACUGAUGUAUAUAUGAAACAAAUUUAAGUAUUCAUAUAUUUCUUAAUCGUUUUAAUGCUGAUAAUUUAAUGUGCAUUAUGUAAUAUAUAUGUAUAAAUAUAAUAGUACAA
Polistes canadensis is the source of this 538-nucleotide long non-coding RNA. RefSeq lists it as uncharacterized. The transcript has 2 exons. The record is from RefSeq and is a predicted model, not a curated record. NCBI's taxonomy places the organism in Eukaryota, Metazoa, Arthropoda, Insecta, Hymenoptera, Vespidae.